UUAUUGGAACUAAUUGCAAUAAGAACACACAAAUCGACAAAAAGUUGAUAACUUUUACAAAGUAUAAUGCUUAGACCAUGUGGAGAAUAUCACACACAAGACACUCACCAAGCUCCACUCUCUCAAAAAAUCUCUCACACAUAAAUCCUAGAAUGGAAUAAUUAAACGAUCGAUUACCGGAUUGAUGCACGCUAACCUGACCUUGAUUAAAUUGUUUUGUUUGGAAUACCAAAACCCUAAAUCGCAGAUCGCUCGCUUGGGUCGGGUCGGGUCACACUCCACUCUCGGAUCUCUCUUUCGCUUCCAGCUACGCUCCUCUAUUUUGUGAUCAUUGUACAGUUGCCGGUCAACGUUAUUGGCGGCAGGAUUCCAGUGGUGGGACGGCGAAUUAGGGCAGAGAUCUUCGCCGGAAAGCCAUGAAGUUUGUUCACCACCAUUAACUCCUGUAGUAGUACUGUCUUAUUCCAAAUCGAAUACAUGUUUGUUUGGUUUGGUCUGAAGUUGAAUAUGUGGAUUUGAAUUUUAGGGCCUGGAUCAAGAGAUGAUGG
RNAcentral lists this long non-coding RNA (548 nucleotides) under Helianthus annuus (common sunflower). RNAcentral's name for it is "hypothetical non coding rna". Lineage: Eukaryota; Viridiplantae; Streptophyta; Magnoliopsida; Asterales; Asteraceae. The record is from RNAcentral.